RNAcentral lists this ribosomal RNA (429 nucleotides) under uncultured Acidobacterium sp. RNAcentral describes it as "bacterial SSU rRNA". It matches the Rfam family "Bacterial small subunit ribosomal RNA", at positions 958 to 1385 of the family's 1533-position model. Lineage: Bacteria; Pseudomonadati; Acidobacteriota; Terriglobia; Terriglobales; Acidobacteriaceae. The record is from RNAcentral.
AACGCGAAGAACCUUACCUGGGCUCGAACGGCUUUGGCAAACUCGUGGAAACAUGGGUCCUCCCGCAAGGGACCGGAGUCGAGGUGCUGCAUGGCUGUCGUCAGCUCGUGUCGUGAGAUGUUGGGUUAAGUCCCGCAACGAGCGCAACCCUUGUCCUGUUUUGGCAUGCCGCAAGGCGCAACUAUCAGGAGACCGCCAGCGAUAAGUUGGAGGAAGGUGGGGAUGACGUCAAGUCAUCAUGGCCUUUAUGUCCAGGGCCACACACGUGCUACAAUGGGCGGUACAAAGCGCUGCGAACCCGCGAGGGGAAGCUAAUCGCAAAAAACCGUCCUCAGUUCGGAUCGCAGGCUGCAAUUCGCCUGCGUGAAGCUGGAAUCGCUAGUAAUGCCGUAUCAGAACGACGGCGUGAAUACGUUCCCGGGCCUUGUA